Molecule: long non-coding RNA, 504 nt
Filed under: Gallus gallus (chicken)
Lineage: Eukaryota; Metazoa; Chordata; Aves; Galliformes; Phasianidae
Source: RNAcentral
GAAAAAUGCAAUUCAAGAGAACAUUGAAACAAAAAGAACAAGGAUGAAAAGAAUCAUGUAUCCUGAAACAAAAGAAUAACACCAAGAAGAGUUGCAAUUGCAAAGAUCUCACAGUUUUCUUCCUAACAGAAGUCAAUGAGAAUGGCUGGAUGAGAUGAUCUCCAGAGAUCUGUUCUGACCCCUGUUACUCUGCAGUCUCAGGGUGGGGAGUAAGAAGCAGAGGAACGGAAAGGAAGAAAUGGGAAAAGACUGCAUUUGCAUCUCUCUGCAUGCUGACAGAAGGAUCCGGCCAGGCACAACGGGAAUAGAGUUCACUGAAGACAAGGAUUUUUCCCCUCAGAGCCAAGGAUGAAAUGGAGGGUCAAGCAUACAAGAACCGAGCAAGACAAGAUGGAAUAAUUAUUCACAAAUGGACAGAAGAACAUUCCAGGAUUCAUUUCCCAACUUGUGUGGAAUCAGAUGCAGUUGCUGAAGACGAUGUUGUGCUCAGAAAGCUCUUCAGCC